Molecule: transfer RNA, 88 nt
Filed under: Chloroflexota bacterium
Lineage: Bacteria; Bacillati; Chloroflexota
Description: Chloroflexi bacterium tRNA-Pro
Rfam family: tRNA
About the family: Transfer RNA (tRNA) molecules are approximately 80 nucleotides in length. Their secondary structure includes four short double-helical elements and three loops (D, anti-codon, and T loops).
Source: RNAcentral
GUCGGGCUGGCGAAACUGGCAUACGCGCUAGCUUUGGGAGCUAGUGGGGGCCGCAUCCCCCGUGCGGGUUCGAGUCCCGCGCCCGACA